UACGAAGGGGGCUAGCGUUGUUCGGAAUUACUGGGCGUAAAGCGCGCGCAGGCGGUCUUCCAAGUCAGUGGUGAAAGCCCGGAGCUCAACUCCGGAACUGCCAUUGAAACUGUUAGACUUGAGGAUGAGAGAGGUGAGUGGAAUUCCCAGUGUAGAGGUGAAAUUCGUAGAUAUUGGGAAGAACACCAGUGGCGAAGGCGACUUACUGGACACAUAUUGACGCUGAGGUGCGAAAGCGUGGGGAGCAAACAGG
Molecule: ribosomal RNA, 253 nt
Filed under: uncultured bacterium
Lineage: Bacteria
Description: partial 16S ribosomal RNA
Rfam family: Bacterial small subunit ribosomal RNA
Source: RNAcentral